GUCGAAAUAGUCUCAAUUGAAAAUUCAAAUUUUUCAUUUAAUAUUUUUAAUGAAAAUUCAUUAAAUUAUUCUCCAAACAAUUGACAGUUAAGGAAAUAUGUGGACGUUAAUAGAUCAAUGGGAAACAUUAGCAAUGCAUCUAGAUUUUGUAAGAUCUUUAAUAAAUCUAUAACAAUUUGAGAUUGGAAGAUUCCAUUGCAUUGCUAAACUAUGAAAAUUUGAUGUACAUUUUAAAUAUAAAAAAAAAAGAAUAUUGUAGAGGGAAAGAAGAAGAAUAACAAACAGCACGAUAAAUAAAACUCACAUUUAAUAGUGAAGAAAAUUAUUUUGAGACGCAUUUACAAGUGGAAUAUGUUAGCAAAUGAGAAUUGUUCAGUCGGCUGCACUCGACUGCGCAAUGCUCGUUCACAGAUAAUUAAAAACCGAAAUUGACUAUUAACUAAGCAAAGACUUCAGUCGGUGCAGCUAUAUAAUUUCAAACGGGAACAUUUACAAAAUAUAUAUAAGCGAAAAUAUAUUAUAAUAUAUUUGAGAAGUAUAAAUGUUUGUCUAAAACAACCAAGUAAAGAUGAUAAUUGAUUCUAUAAUAAAAUCGUGAUUGAAGGAACCAAAACAUGUUGGAAUCGAUCUUGCGCAUCCGACAACACUUGGCACAGUGGGGCGCGUAGGCAGAAAAUGUAACAAAAAACCAAAAUUUUAUAAAACCAACUGAGAGUUUG
Molecule: long non-coding RNA, 719 nt
Organism: Drosophila hydei
Lineage: Eukaryota; Metazoa; Arthropoda; Insecta; Diptera; Drosophilidae
Exons: 3
Source: RefSeq, a predicted model, not a curated record